Molecule: ribosomal RNA, 494 nt
Filed under: uncultured bacterium
Lineage: Bacteria
Description: partial 16S ribosomal RNA
Rfam family: Bacterial small subunit ribosomal RNA
Source: RNAcentral
GACGAACGCUGGUGGCGUGCUUAACACAUGCAAGUCGAACGGUGAAGCGCCUUCCUUUUUGGUGGGUGUGGAUGAGUGGCGAACGGGUGAGUAACACGUGAGUAACCUGCCCCCUUCUUCUGGAUAACCGCAUGAAAGUGUGGCUAAUACGGGAUAUUCUGGGUCUGUCGCAUGAUGGGUCUGGGAAAGAUAUUGUUUCGGUGGGGGAUGGGCUCGCGGCCUAUCAGCUUGUUGGUGGGGUGAUGGCCUACCAAGGCGGUGACGGGUAGCCGGCCUGAGAGGGUGGACGGUCACACGGGGACUGAGGCACGGCCCAGACUCCUACGGGAGGCAGCAGUGGGGAAUAUUGCACAAUGGGCGCAAGCCUGAUGCAGCGACGCCGCGUGAGGGAUGGAGGCCUUCGGGUUGUGAACCUCUUUCGCCAGUGAAGCAGGCCUGCCUCGUUUGUGGGUGGGUUGACGGUAGCUGGAUAAGAAGCGCCGGCUAACUACGUG